This 403-nucleotide ribosomal RNA is filed under the name uncultured bacterium. Its description in RNAcentral is "partial 16S ribosomal RNA". It matches the Rfam family "Bacterial small subunit ribosomal RNA", at positions 28 to 526 of the family's 1533-position model. The record is from RNAcentral.
GACGAACGCUGGCGGCGUGCCUAAUACAUGCAAGUCGAACGCAGUGGGGACGGGUGAUUAACACGUGGGUAACCUCCCAUCAGAGGGGAUAACCCUUGGAUACAGGUGCUAAACCGAUACUGAUGGAUGGACCCGCGGGGCAGUAGCUAGUGGGUGAGGUAACGGCUCACCAAGGCCACGAUGCAUAGCCGACCUGAGGGGGUGAUCGGCCAAGCUGGGACUGAGACACGGCCCAGACUCCUACGGGAGGCAGCAGUAGGGAAUCUUCGGCAAUGGACGAAAGUCUGACCGAGCAACGCCGCGUGAGUGAAGAAGGUUUUCGGAUCGUAAAACUCUGUUGUUAGAGAAGCGGUAUCUAACCAGAAAGCCACGGCUAACUACGUGCCAGCCGCCGCGGUAAUUC